RNAcentral lists this ribosomal RNA (257 nucleotides) under uncultured Pseudomonas sp. Its description in RNAcentral is "partial 16S ribosomal RNA". It matches the Rfam family "Bacterial small subunit ribosomal RNA", at positions 96 to 354 of the family's 1533-position model. Lineage: Bacteria; Pseudomonadati; Pseudomonadota; Gammaproteobacteria; Pseudomonadales; Pseudomonadaceae. The record is from RNAcentral.
CGGCGGACGGGUGAGUAAUGCCUAGGAAUCUGCCUGGUAGUGGGGGACAACGUUUCGAAAGGAACGCUAAUACCGCAUACGUCCUACGGGAGAAAGCAGGGGACCUUCGGGCCUUGCGCUAUCAGAUGAGUCUAGGUCGGAUUAGCUAGUUGGUGAGGUAAUGGCUCACCAAGGCGACGAUCCGUAACUGGUCUGAGAGGAUGAUCAGUCACACUGGAACUGAGACACGGUCCAGACUCCUACGGGAGGCAGCAGGC